Molecule: ribosomal RNA, 254 nt
Filed under: uncultured bacterium
Lineage: Bacteria
Description: partial 16S ribosomal RNA
Rfam family: Bacterial small subunit ribosomal RNA
Source: RNAcentral
UACGGGGGGGGGUAAGCGUUGUUCGGAAUUACUGGGCGUAAAGGGCUCGUAGGCGGCCAACUAAGUCGGACGUGAAAUCCCUCAGCUUAACUGGGGAACUGCGUCCGAUACUGGAUGGCUUGGAUUUGGGAGAGGGAUGCGGAAUUCCAGGUGUAGCGGUGAAAUGCGUAGAUAUCUGGAGGAACACCGGUGGCGAAGGCGGCAUCCUGGACCAACAUUGACGCUGAGGAGCGAAAGCUAGGGGAGCAAACGGG